Molecule: ribosomal RNA, 492 nt
Filed under: uncultured bacterium
Lineage: Bacteria
Description: partial 16S ribosomal RNA
Rfam family: Bacterial small subunit ribosomal RNA
Source: RNAcentral
AGUGAACGCUGGCGGUAGGCCUAACACAUGCAAGUCGAACGGCAGCACAGUAAGCGCUUGCUCUUACGGGUGGCGAGUGGCGGACGGGUGACGAAUACAUCGGAAUCUACUUUUUCGUGGGGGAUAACGUAGGGACACUUACGCUAAUACCGCAUACGACCUACGGGUGAAAGCAGGGGAUCUUCGGACCUUGCGCGAUUGAAUGAGCCGAUGUCGGAUUAGCUAGUUGGCGGGGUAAAGGCCCACCAAGGCGACGAUCCGUAGCUGGUCUGAGAGGAUGAUCAGCCACACUGGAACUGAGACACGGUCCAGACUCCUACGGGAGGCAGCAGUGGGGAAUAUUGGGCAAUGGGCGAAAGCCUGAUCCAGCCAUACCGCGUGAGUGAAGAAGGCCUUCGGGUUGUAAAGCCCUUUUGUUGGGAAAGAAAAGCAGCGGGUUAAUACCCCGCUGUUCUGACGGUACCCAAAGAAUAAGCACCGGCUAACUUCGUG